Molecule: ribosomal RNA, 253 nt
Filed under: uncultured bacterium
Lineage: Bacteria
Description: partial 16S ribosomal RNA
Rfam family: Bacterial small subunit ribosomal RNA
Source: RNAcentral
UACAGAGGGGGCAAGCGUUGUUCGGAAUUACUGGGCGUAAAGGGCGCGUAGGCGGCCUGCUAAGUCGAACGUGAAAUCCCCGGGCUCAACCCGGGAACUGCGUCCGAUACUGGCAGGCUUGAAUCCGGGAGAGGGAUGUGGAAUUCCAGGUGUAGCGGUGAAAUGCGUAGAUAUCUGGAGGAACACCGGUGGCGAAGGCGACUACCUGGCCUGUUCUUGACGCUGAGGCGCGAAAGCUAGGGGAGCAAACGGG